This 258-nucleotide ribosomal RNA is filed under the name uncultured bacterium. Its description in RNAcentral is "partial 16S ribosomal RNA". It matches the Rfam family "Bacterial small subunit ribosomal RNA", at positions 795 to 1052 of the family's 1533-position model. The record is from RNAcentral.
CCAUGCCGUAAACGUUGGGCGCUAGGUGUGGGACUCAUUCCACGAGUUCCGUGCCGCAGCUAACGCAUUAAGCGCCCCGCCUGGGGAGUACGGCCGCAAGGCUAAAACUCAAAGGAAUUGACGGGGGCCCGCACAAGCGGCGGAGCAUGUGGAUUAAUUCGAUGCAACGCGAAGAACCUUACCUGGGCUUGACAUAUACAGGACGACGGCAGAGAUGUCGUUUCCCUUGUGGCUUGUAUACAGGUGGUGCAUGGUUGU